AUUGAACGCUGGCGGAAUGCUUUACACAUGCAAGUCGAACGGCAGCACGGGGGCAACCCUGGUGGCGAGUGGCGAACGGGUGAGUAAUACAUCGGAACGUGCCCAGUCGUGGGGGAUAACGUAGCGAAAGCUACGCUAAUACCGCAUACGAUCUACGGAUGAAAGCGGGGGAUCGCAAGACCUCGCGCGAUUGGAGUGGCCGAUAUCAGAUUAGGUAGUUGGUGGGGUAAAGGCCUACCAAGCCGACGAUCUGUAGCUGGUCUGAGAGGACGACCAGCGACACUGGGACUGGGACACGGCCCAGACUCCUACGGGAGGCAGCAGUGGGGAAUUUUGGACAAUGGGCGCAAGCCUGAUCCAGCCAUUCCGCGUGCAGGAAGAAGGCCUUCGGGUUGUAAACUGCUUUUGUACGGAACGAAACGCGCUGAGCUAAUACCUCGGUGUAAUGACGGUACCGUAAGAAUAAGCACCGGCUAACUACGUGCCAGCAGCCGCAGUAA
This 500-nucleotide ribosomal RNA is filed under the name uncultured bacterium. RNAcentral describes it as "partial 16S ribosomal RNA". It matches the Rfam family "Bacterial small subunit ribosomal RNA", at positions 30 to 523 of the family's 1533-position model. The record is from RNAcentral.